CCGGCGACCGGCGCACGGGUGAGUAACACGUAUGCAACCUGGCCGUGACAGAUGGAUAACCGGGAGAAAUCCCGCCUAAUACAGCAUGGCGCCGUGGGAGGCCAUCCUCCCGCGGCCAAAGGGCGACCCGGUCACGGAUGGGCAUGCGGCGCAUUAGGUAGUUGGUGGGGCAACGGCCCACCAAGCCGACGAUGCGUAGGGGUUCUGAGAGGAAGGUCCCCCACAUUGGAACUGAGACACGGUCCAAACUCCUACGGGAGGCAGCAG
This 267-nucleotide ribosomal RNA is filed under the name uncultured bacterium. RNAcentral's name for it is "partial 16S ribosomal RNA". It matches the Rfam family "Bacterial small subunit ribosomal RNA", at positions 88 to 354 of the family's 1533-position model. The record is from RNAcentral.